This 250-nucleotide ribosomal RNA is filed under the name uncultured bacterium. RNAcentral describes it as "partial 16S ribosomal RNA". It matches the Rfam family "Bacterial small subunit ribosomal RNA", at positions 355 to 622 of the family's 1533-position model. The record is from RNAcentral.
GGGGGAAUCUUGGACAAUGGGGGAAACCCUGAUCCAGCCAUGCCGCGUGAGUGAUGAAGGCCUUCGGGUUGUAAAGCUCUUUUGUAUGGGAAGAUAAUGACUGUACCAUAAGAAUAAGCCCCGGCUAACUUCGUGCCAGCAGCCGCGGUAACACGAAGGGGGCUAGCGUUGUUCGGAAUUACUGGGCGUAAAGGGUGCGUAGGUGGUUAUGUAAGUCAGAAGUGAAAGCCCUGGGCUCAACCCGGGAAUU